ACCAAUAUAAAAAGACACAGAGGGGGCAGAUCCAACAAAUCCUGACCGUUCAACGAAAAUCCAACGGUGACUGACACUCCCGAGUUUCGUGGCAAAACAGUGUCCGUCCCGUUCCGUCACGGGCCCUCGCACAAAUUGCGCCUCAUCAAGUCUGAACCGCACCGAGCUAAUCAAUUCCCCUCAUUUUUUCGACCAACCAAUCUCGCGAGCACAGAGCACUGCCCUCCGCCGCCGUUGCGCUGCUCGCUGCCGCCGCCUCGCCCUCAGCCGCUACCACGCCGCACGCUGCCGACGUCUUGCAGGGCACCACGCGACAGUGUCCACUGCUGCCGGACUGCCCGCCACAAGCACAGAGAAGUGGGCGCGUUCCCACAGCGCCGGACGCACGCGCGAGCGUGACGAGCGCAUCGGAUAACAUGUAGAGUUGGAGCUCGGCAGCAGGCCGGAUCUUCGGGAAAGCCGCCCUGUAGGAUGCCCGUCAUGGCAGCGGGAAGCACUGCCUUUCGUCGCGGUGACGGCCCUGACAGCACGAAGGGCAGUUGGUGCAUGCGGCGUUCACUCUCUAGUUGAGGCAAGGAAACCAAAAGUCUGCCUCUGGAGGUCAUGUGAAGGAGUUAUUUCACAAUCCCAAAGAUCAAUGUACUGGGAGUAGUCUUAUCCUAAGAUUUUUCUAAUUUUCUGACCUCACAUGUAUAUUGGUUUGCGCAUACUAAGGUGAUCGUGGUUGUGCUAUGUUUUGUCUACAGUUUCAUCACUGUAUAUGUUUGCACUACUCCACACUAAGUCACCGUGUAGACCAACUGCUAAAGUUGAAUUGAAUCCAAAUAUCCAAUGGUUCA
Lolium perenne is the source of this 839-nucleotide long non-coding RNA. RefSeq lists it as uncharacterized. NCBI's taxonomy places the organism in Eukaryota, Viridiplantae, Streptophyta, Magnoliopsida, Poales, Poaceae. The record is from RefSeq and is a predicted model, not a curated record.